Molecule: ribosomal RNA, 2256 nt
Filed under: Triticum aestivum (bread wheat)
Lineage: Eukaryota; Viridiplantae; Streptophyta; Magnoliopsida; Poales; Poaceae
Description: partial small subunit ribosomal RNA
Source: RNAcentral
GAGCGGUUAUCUAGAAUAAGGAAGCAACUCCUAAGACCUGAAUUGUCUCCAUCAUCAUACGACACCGCAUGGGUGGCUAUGGUGCCCUUGUCAGGCUCCCCUCAUAUUCUAUGCUUCCCUCAGUGUGUUGAAUGGAUACUACAAAACCAACGAAGAAAUAGAUCUUGGGGUCAGAGUCAAGUAGAGUCCUCAGUUGACAAGGACAUCCUUUCAUCCACAUUGGCUUGUGUACUUGCACUUAAGAGAUGGAACAUUGGUACAAAACAUAUCCAAAGAGGUCUGCGCUUUAUUGGAAAGUAUUUCUCUGUUGUCAUGGAUGAGCAAAUUGUUGCUCCCAUAGGCUUCAAUGUCAUUUUUCCUGGUAUGCUUAGCCUUGCCAUUGGGAUGGGUUUGGAAUUUCCUGUUCGACAAACGCAUGUUCAUGGGAUUCUUCACCUCCGGGAGAUGGAACUGAAAAGACUUGCUAGGGAUAAAUCUUAUGGAAAAGAAGCAUAUAUGGCCUAUAUUUGUGAAGGGUUAGGAAACAUCUUGGACCGCGAUAAAGUUAUGAAGUUCCAGAGGAAGAAUGGGUCGUUGUUCAACUCUCCUUCAGCAACUUCUGCUGCUUUAAUCCACAAUUAUGAUGACAAAGCCCUCGAGUACCUAAAUUCUCUUGUUAGUAAAUUUGGUAGUUCAGUGCCAACUGUAUAUCCAAUAAAUAUAUAUUGUCAGCUUUCAAUGGUGGAUUCUCUUGAGAAGAUUGGGAUAUCUCAACAUUUUCUUAAUGAGAUAAAGGGCAUCCUCGACGUGACAUAUAGUUUGUGGUUACAUAGAGAUGAGGAAAUCAUGCUGGAUGUAGAAACAUGUGCAAUGGCAUUUCGUCUUUUACGUAUGAACGGAUAUGGUGUUUCCUCUGAUGAGUUGUCUCAUGUUUAUGAAGCCUCCACAUUCCAUAAUUCACUUCAAGGAUAUUUAAGUGAUACAGAAUCAAUAAUGGAAUUAUACAAGGCCUCAAAAGUGAGUGUAUCAGAAAAUGAUUUGGUACUAGAUAACACAAGCCACUGGUCAGGCAGCUUAUUGACAGAAAAGAUGCUCUCUGAUGGGGUGCAAACAAGGCCAAUCUUCGGAGAGGUGGAAUAUGCUCUCAAAUUUCCCUUUUAUGCCACAAUGGAACAUUUAGACCACAAGAGGAACAUUGAGCACUUUGAUACCAGAGGUUCUCGGAUGUUAAAGACAGAAUACAUGAAAUGCCGGGUCAACCAAGAUUUUCUUGCUUUGGCAGUUGAAGAUUUCACCUUAUCUCAAUCUAUUUACCAGGAUGAACUCCUUCAUCUUAGAAGGUGGGCGAAGGAUAACAAGCUGGACAAGCUACAGUUUGUACGACAGAAGCUGACGUAUUGUUACCUCGCAGCAGCUGCUACCUUAUUCCCUCCUGAACUGUCUGAUGCUCGCAUUUCAUGGGCCAAAAAUUCUGUACUCGCAACUGCUGCUGAUGACUUCUUUGAUAUUGUGGGGUCAAAGGAAGAGUUGGAAAAUCUUGUAGCACUAGUUGAGAAGUGGGAUGAGCACUCCAAAGAUGAGUUCUACUCUGAGCAAGUGAAAAUAUUAUUUUGUGCUAUCUAUACUACAGUGAACCAACUUGGAGCAUUGGCUUCUGCAGUCCAAAACCGUGACGUUAAAAAGCACAUGAUAGAAUUAUGGGUACAACUACUAAGGUCUAUGAUGACCGAGGCAGAAUGGCGGAUGAGACGAUAUGUGCCAACUAUUGAAGAAUACGUGGAAAAUGCAGUUGUGUCAUUCGCACUGGGGCCCAUUGUGCUCAUAACAAUGUAUUUCGUCGGGCAAAAGCUCUUUGGAUGUGUUGUCAAAGAUGAAGAGUACAACACAUUAUUCAGGCUAAUGAGCAAAUGUGGUCGUCUCCUCAACGACAUCCAAGGCUUUGAGAGGGAGAGCAGUGAGGGAAAACUAGAUAGUGUUUCACUGCUUGUUCUACAUGGUGAUGGUUCUAUAUCCAUAGAAGCGGCUAAAGAGUCGAUAAUAAGAUCCAUAGCCUCAUGUAGAAAAGACUUACUAAGGUUAGUCCUUAAGGAAGAGGUAGUUCCUAGACCAUGCAGGGAGCUGUUCUGGAAGAUGUGCAAGACAUGCCACGUGUUCUUCUCUCACACCGAUGCAUUUACCUCCCCAAGCGAGAUGGUCGGCGCAGUGAAUGCAGUAAUCAGCGAGCCCCUCAAGCUCCAGAUUAGCAAUACAUCUUUGCCUAUGCAUUCAGAAAGAUAA